RNAcentral lists this long non-coding RNA (447 nucleotides) under Brassica napus (rape). RNAcentral describes it as "long non-coding RNA (BNAP_LNC001673)". The record is from RNAcentral. Lineage: Eukaryota; Viridiplantae; Streptophyta; Magnoliopsida; Brassicales; Brassicaceae.
AAAUUAAUGAAACUUAAAAAUAUACAUUAAAUAAUAUAAUAAAUAAUAUGAAAGUCAAAUUUUUAAAAUUUAAGUGAUGUAUAUAUGGUAAAAUUAAAUAUUUUCUAAUUUUAUAAAUAAAAAUAUACAAAAAUCUAAAAUAUGAAUUUUUUUUUGUAAAUUGAUAGCUCUAAAAAUUAUUAAAAGACCAUAGUCCCAACAUUAUUAAUUAUAGAAGUUUUACUAUAUAUAUAUAUAUGUGUAAAUAUAUAUACUAUAGAGAAUCAAUAUUAAUAAAACAUUAUCACUCCUAUUAUUUGCCCCUACUACAUGCAUUAUUACUUUUUUGCCAUUAGACUUACCUUUAAAUAUACUAACUGCCGUUCUUUACAUAUAACUAACUAUUAAUAAUAUUGAUAUUUUGUAACCUUCCUUUUUAUUCCAGUAUUCUCACACCCACUUCUCUCU